This 255-nucleotide ribosomal RNA is filed under the name uncultured bacterium. RNAcentral describes it as "partial 16S ribosomal RNA". It matches the Rfam family "Bacterial small subunit ribosomal RNA", at positions 524 to 776 of the family's 1533-position model. The record is from RNAcentral.
UACGUAGGGUCCGAGCGUUGUCCGGAAUUAUUGGGCGUAAAGGGCUCGUAGGCGGUUUGUCGCGUCGGGAGUGAAAACGCCGGGCUUAACCCGGUGCUUGCUUUCGAUACGGGCAGACUGGAGGUAUGCAGGGGGGAGAACGGAAUUCCUGGUGUAGCGGUGAAAUGCGCAGAUAUCAGGAGGAACACCGGUGGCGAAGGCGGUUCUCUGGGCAUGACCUGACGCUGAGGAGCGAAAGUGUGGGGAGCGAACAGG